CGCGGGGGCAACCCUGGCGGCGAGCGGCGAACGGGUGAGUAAUGCAUCGGAACGUGUCCCGUAGUGGGGGAUAACGCCGGGAAACCGGCGCUAAUACCGCAUAUGCUCUACGGAGGAAAGUGGGGGACCUGCAAGGGCCUCACGCUAUGGGAGCGGCCGAUGUCCGAUUAGCUAGUUGGUGAGGUAAAGGCUUACCAAGGCGACGAUCGGUAGCUGGUCUGAGAGGAUGAUCAGCCACACUGGGACUGAGACACGGCCCAGACUCCUACGGGAGGCAGCAGUGGGGAAUUUUGGACAAUGGGGGCAACCCUGAUCCAGCCAUGCCGCGUGAGUGAAGAAGGCCUUCGGG
Molecule: ribosomal RNA, 349 nt
Filed under: uncultured bacterium
Lineage: Bacteria
Description: bacterial SSU rRNA
Rfam family: Bacterial small subunit ribosomal RNA
Source: RNAcentral